UUAAAAAUAAGCUAAAUAAAGCUUUUGGAUUCAUACUUCAAAUAUAAAGAUAACUCUUUUUUUUAAA
This 67-nucleotide transfer RNA is filed under the name Gynaephora aureata. RNAcentral's name for it is "tRNA-Met". RNAcentral also lists the same sequence under 3 other names. The record is from RNAcentral. Lineage: Eukaryota; Metazoa; Arthropoda; Insecta; Lepidoptera; Erebidae.